UAUAGAAUUUUAUAUUGCUACAUUUUAAUACUUAAUAUAAAAUAUGUAGUAAUAUUUGGUUGGGAGGACUAUUAAAUUUGAUUAACUUUAAUUUUUGAUUACUUUGAUUUAAGAAAGUACAAUGAUCUUUAAAUUAAAAUAUCUAGAUUAAAUUACCUUAGGGAUAACAGCGUAAUAUUUUUUUAUAGAUCGUAUAGAAAAAAGUGAUUGCGACCUCGAUGUUGAAUUAAGAUAAAUUUUAAACGCAGGAGUUUAAUGAUUAAGUCUGU
Molecule: ribosomal RNA, 269 nt
Filed under: Tetragonula collina
Lineage: Eukaryota; Metazoa; Arthropoda; Insecta; Hymenoptera; Apidae
Description: partial large subunit ribosomal RNA
Source: RNAcentral